This 482-nucleotide ribosomal RNA is filed under the name uncultured bacterium. RNAcentral describes it as "bacterial SSU rRNA". It matches the Rfam family "Bacterial small subunit ribosomal RNA", at positions 28 to 507 of the family's 1533-position model. The record is from RNAcentral.
GAUGAACGCUAGCGGCAGGCCUAACACAUGCAAGUCGAGGGGCAGCACAGGUAGCAAUACUGGGUGGCGACCGGCGGAUGGGUGCGUAACGCGUAUGCAACCUACCAUUGAUUGGGGCAUAGCCCGAAGAAAUUCGGAUUAAUACUCCAUAAUAUUCAUCAAAGGCAUCUUUUAUGAAUUAAAGCUUUUGCGAUCAAUGAUGGGCAUGCGUGACAUUAGUUAGUUGGUGAGGUAACGGCUCACCAAAACGAUGAUGUCUAGGGGUUCUGAGAGGAUUAUCCCCCACACUGGUACUGAGACACGGACCAGACUCCUACGGGAGGCAGCAGUGAGGAAUAUUGGUCAAUGGACGCAAGUCUGAACCAGCCAUGCCGCGUGCAGGAUGACGGCCCUAUGGGUUGUAAACUGCUUUUCCACGGGAAGAACCCUCGACCGUGUCGGAGACUGACGUACCGUGGGAAUAAGCAUCGGCUAACUCCGUG